AGCAGCCGCGGUAAUUCCGGCUCCAAUAGCGUAUAUUAAAGUUGUUGCAGUUAAAAAGCUCGUAGUUGAAUUUCGGGGUUAGCAGGUUGGUCGUGCCACUGGUAUGUACUGGCCUUGCUGAUUCCUCCCUCUUUAUGAGCCGUAAUGCCAUUAAUUUGGUGUUGCGGGGAAUCAGGACUGUUACUUUGAAAAAAUUAGAGUGUUUAAAGCAGGCAUGCGCUUGAAUACAUUAGCAUGGAAUAAUGAAAUAGGACGUUCGAUCCUAUUUUGUUGGUUUCUAGGAUUGACGUAAUGAUUAAUAGGGAUAGUUGGGGGCAUUAGUAUUCAAUUGUCAGAGGUGAAAUUCUUGGAUUUAUUGAAGACUAACUACUGCGAAAGCAUUUGCCAAGGAUGUUUUCAUUAAUCAAGAACGAAAGUUAGGGGAUCGAAGACGAUCAGAUACCGUCGUAGUCUUAACCAUAAACUAUGCCGACUAGGGAUCGGAUGAUGUUAAUUUUUAAUGACUCAUUCGG
This 512-nucleotide ribosomal RNA is filed under the name uncultured Glomus. Its description in RNAcentral is "SSU rRNA". It matches the Rfam family "Eukaryotic small subunit ribosomal RNA", at positions 569 to 1083 of the family's 1831-position model. The record is from RNAcentral. Lineage: Eukaryota; Fungi; Glomeromycota; Glomeromycetes; Glomerales; Glomeraceae.